This 429-nucleotide ribosomal RNA is filed under the name uncultured eukaryote. RNAcentral's name for it is "bacterial SSU rRNA". It matches the Rfam family "Eukaryotic small subunit ribosomal RNA", at positions 1230 to 1670 of the family's 1831-position model. The record is from RNAcentral.
ACGGUAAGGAUUGACGGACUGAAGGCUCUUUCUCGAUUCCGUGGAAAGUGGUGCAUGGCCGUUUUUGGUUGGUGGAUCGAUCCGUCUGGUUAAUUCCGUUAACGAACGAGACCUCGGCACUCCGAAUAGCGCGGCGGACGUCGCGGCCUCCGGGCCGUCUUCCGCACGAGCUUCUUAGAGGGACCGUCCCCCGCCGGGGAAGGAGGUGCGAGGCAACGACAGGUCUGUGAUGCCCUUAGAUGUUCUGGGCCGCACGCGCAUUACACUGACGCGUCCAACGGGUGACUCCCGACCCGAAGGGGCCGGGGAAUCCGCAAGGCGCGUCGUGAUGGGGAUUGAACGUUGCAAUUGUUGUUCACGAACGAGGAAUUCCUAGUAGGCGCGGGUCAUCAACCCGCGCCGAUUACGUCCCUGCCCUUUGUACACACC